UUGAAAGGGAAACGAUUGAAGUCAGUCGUACCAGCGGGAAAUCAACCUUUCGAGUGGGGGUUUUGGAGUUUUGAAGAGUGUCAAAACCUUUGAGAUUUCAAAAUUUUCGCUCUUUUGGUGUACUUUCUCGUGGGUAGGUUAACAUCGAUUUUGAUCAUCAUAAAAAGAUUGGAGGAAUGUAGCUUCGAUCUUGUAUUGAAGUGUUAUAGCCUUUGGUAAAUGUGAUGAUUAGGAUCGAGGAUUGCAACGAAUACCCUUUUGGGCUAUCCGCCUGAUCUCUGAUACGUGGCCUUGGUAUCGAAAGCGUGCUUAUGGUUUGAGGUAUUACGGUCAAAAGGUUAGAACGGAUCCAUUCGCUUAAGGAUGUUGACGUA
RNAcentral lists this ribosomal RNA (374 nucleotides) under uncultured Glomeromycotina. RNAcentral describes it as "LSU rRNA". Lineage: Eukaryota; Fungi; Glomeromycota. The record is from RNAcentral.